ACGGGACCCGCACAAGCGGUGGAUGAUGUGGAUUAAUUCGAUGCAACGACGAAAACCUUACCUACCCUUGACAUGUCCGGAAUCCCGAAGAGAUUUGGGAGUGCUCGCAAGAGAGCCGGAACACAGGUGCUGCAUGGCUGUCGUCAGCUCGUGUCGUGAGAUGUUGGGUUAAGUCCCGCAACGAGCGCAACCCUUGUCAUUAGUUGCCAUCAUUUAGUUGGGCACUCUAAUGAGACUGCCGGUGACAAACCGGAGGAAGGUGGGGAUGACGUCAAGUCCUCAUGGCCCUUAUGGGUAGGGCUUCACACGUCAUACAAUGGUCGGUACAGAGGGUUGCCAACCCGCGAGGGGGAGCUAAUCCCACAAAGCCGAUCGUAGUCCGGAUCGCAGUCUGCAACUCGACUGCGUGAAGUCGGAAUCGCUAGUAAUCGUGGAUCAGCAUGUCACGGUGAAUACGUUCCCGGGUCUU
This 469-nucleotide ribosomal RNA is filed under the name uncultured Rhodocyclaceae bacterium. RNAcentral describes it as "bacterial SSU rRNA". It matches the Rfam family "Bacterial small subunit ribosomal RNA", at positions 916 to 1381 of the family's 1533-position model. Lineage: Bacteria; Pseudomonadati; Pseudomonadota; Betaproteobacteria; Rhodocyclales; Rhodocyclaceae. The record is from RNAcentral.